AUUCGUCUCACAAGGGUCUAUCCUCUUUCCUCCCCUCUUUUCACUUUCAAUUAGCACAAAAUUCAGAUAUCAUAACACCAACCAUGGUGUUUAUACAGUUCUAGCUAGAUCAUUGAAGUAAAUACAACUCACAUGUUUUUUCAUCUUAUAUGGGCAAGCAUAAACAACAGACAACAUCGAAUCGAAUUUUCUAAUUUUAUCUAAAAUCAAGACAUCUAUCUGGUUAUCGAAAUUGUGAAUGAACUGAAGAUCAAUUUUGACAAACCAAGCAAGAACAAUACCUCCUACAGUACCAGCCAUCCCAGUUGGAUUUACGACAAUCAUAUCCAGGUAUUGAAGUUUUUUAAUUAUCAGAAUGAUGUAGGAUUCAUGGUGUUUGGUUUCCUGAAGGAAAAUCAAAUCUGGUUUGUGUUUGGUAAUUAGGUUUCUAAGAUGUGAUUUUGUGUUUUUUUCCUAAUCCUUGGAAAUUCCAAGCAAGAAUAUUGAUAGACAUAUUGUGAAAAUAGGGUAAGGAGAUAUCAUACUUAGAAAAGAAGCACUGAAAAUUGAUAGAGAUUGAGUAAUUCAAAAGGCUAUGAGGAUUUGGUUUUAAUCAUACCUAGCUUACCACAGAGUUUUUGUUCCCAUUGCUUGAUCUAGCAUUUCAGUAUCUGCUCCAGAGGUUGUACUCAAUGUCCAUUUCUCAUCGAUUGCUUUUGAGUAGAUUUUUAGCGCAUUCAUCUGCGGGUUUUCUUUGCUAACCUCCAAAGCUCUAUCAGUUGAAGAGGGCAUGGGAAAAGGAGAGUUUGGUGAAGUGAUGGUUUGGGUUUGGGUUUGGCUUGAAGUUUCCAGAGAAUGUGGGAAUGGUUUAAUGGUUGGGUUUUGUUUUUUUGGGGUACUGAAAAUGGCAAGGUAGGAGCAUGGUAACAAUUCUCCAGUAGAGGAAGGAGGAACCGCAAGACUGGUGAGGGUUUGAAGUGGAUUCAGAGUUUUUUCCAUAAGAUGAUGAGGGAGCUUGAAGAUUGGGUUUAGGAUUUUGGUUGAUAGUUUCACUGGGAUUCUUCUUGAUCUCUUCCUUUGUUUGUGCAUUCUCAGCUUGUUGUAGAUUACAGCACCAGUAGCACCUUUACCUCCCAUCAUAGUAGUAAGACUAUUAACCUCUGCCUUCAUUUGUUGCAUCUCUGAUUCAGUAAUUGCUCCUUGUAGAUUUGCAGUCCCAUCACUUUUUGCCAACUGAGAAGAGCCUUGUUGAUUAUGAUGUAUUGUGAACUCCUCAAAUUUGUAGCCUUUUUCUCCAGUCUCCUUGUCUCUUAAUCGAGUAGUAUUUCCUUUUUCUCCCAUACAAAAAACAAUUUCCUCCACCGUCUGUUGUUUUUCUCUCUCUAUCAGUACUCAGUCUCUGAGUUGGGAUUUUUAUUUUCCCUUGAAUCCUGCUCAGGUUGAUUCUUUUUGUUGGUAUUGUUCUUUGUUUAAACUUUUCAAAACCCGGUGGAGGUUCAGUAUACCUAUCCGGAGUCAAGAUUUUGAAGCAAGAGCUGGUAUUUGUAUCAAAAGCUAUCUUUGUUGGUGGUCCAUGCACAAAGCUGAAGCUGCAUAUCUCCUUCUCGACUCCCCUUUUAUCCACUUCACUGUCUGAUCUCUACAGUUUUGCUGCUGGUAAGACUUCAAUCUCUUCUGGCGCAUGACGUUUCGAGGAAGGGACAUCACUAUCCAUCAUAGUUUCAUGCAGAGUAACUCCAACGUUAAAGCUAGCUUGGGUGGUCUCAGCGGAUUUAGGUUUUGAGACCAUAAUCUCUUUACCUUUCAGCACUAAAGGAGGUGGAGUCUUACUUGAUUCACCUUGAUACGAGAUGAUCGAGUUUUUGAGAACAACUGCAUUUUCUUCUCCUUGAAAGGCCUCAGCUAUUUCUUCAAGCUUCUUUUCAAUAAACCUUGCAUCUUCUUCCAUCUCCAUAUGUUCAUCUAAUUGAGGAUCAGAAAGCAUACCAGGCUGAGCUUUCUUCACACAUUUCUUCCGAGGGUGGUUCAGGACUCUACACAGCUUGUAGAAGCCUUUUGGAAGUCUCUCGAAGAACAUAUUUACUCUCAGCUUUUCUGAUUUACCUAUGUUAAUAGGUAUGUGAUCCCAUAACCUAUCAUUGACAUUGAUUUCCACUAGAGCACGAGGACAUGUUAGAGUAAGUUCAUUUCUAGCUUGGUAUUCAACCAUAUAACAUGUAGCCAUGUUGCUUGCGAUUUCAUAAGGUGUUGGUUCUAUUGUUAGCUCAGGGGGAAGAUUCAGCAGUCGAGCCCACAUAGUAACAAUAUCCAUGUUUACGGAUUCAGGUGCUACACCAUAAUGGUAUUUUUGUACAACGAGCAUAAAUGGACUAUAACUCCAAAUGUUGCGUUAAAGUGCAUUUUGAACCUCUUGCUGAGUGUUGAGACAAAAAGUGAAGAUAUUCUUUACAUUGCCUUUUAUUACCAGUGUACAAUCUGGUUCAUAACCGAUUUUCCAAAUGCUUUGUACAAUAUCUUUGGCUUUUUCUUUACUGAGCUUAAAAUCACAGUUUAUCUUAGAUAUAAUCAGUGUUUUGCUUUUAUUUCUGAUAUCUUCUAUAUUUUUGUCAGAUAUAGUAAAUUCCUUGUUUGUACUCAACUUUUCUUCUAGGCUAAUAACAAGCUCCUCUUCUGAGAAAUUAGAUGACAUAUUGAUGAGAAUGAAAUCUUUGAAUUUCUUGCACCAUGGAGUGUAUAGCAUUUUUACCAAAACAAAAAGUCAGAUCCAGAAUUCCCACCAAUAAAAAUUUGUAUCUCAUUGAUUAGCGAGAAGAAGACCACUGGGGAGAAGGUACGCAUAGGCCAGGUAAAAACCAUUAAAGGCGGCAGGGGACAGGCAUUUUUUUGGAAAUAAAUAUUGUUGGAAAAUUCGGCUCGAAAAGUUGCUCGGAGCACUCCGGGAGGACAAUUGCUAUACAGACCCCAAAUUUGUCUAAGGGGGACCCUGGGCUAUGUACAUCCCAAUUUCAUUCUCAGCACCCACCUGCUAAGGGCACCCCUACUCUGGAUAGGGGCACCCCCUUCUUCUUCCACGUUUAAACAGAAUUUGGUGGGAAAUUUCAUGCAAACUACAGGCAGAUUUUGGUUCGAAUUUUGGAUGUGUUUGAGUAAGACUCAACGACUGAAAUCGUUUGGGUAGUUUUCAUUGAUCUAAACAGGCGUGGUAAGGUCGUUAUUGUUGAUCCAUUUGGGCUGGAUAAUCACUUGAAAGCAAAACAUGGAGUGAGGAAAAAGUCGGGUUUUUCCUGCAAUUAAGCUGUGAAGAUUUUUGGAGAUAUUUGGCGAGAUUUUUGGCUUGAAUUGGAUUAGCAUCAAUCCUUGAUGACUAGACAGGGGACGCGUAAACUUUGGGAUUGACAGAAUCAAACUGUAUUUGGAAACACGACAAAAUAGGGGAGUUUAUUCUCGGAGAGAGAUAAUCACAGCAUUACAACGAAUUUUGACAUGUACUCACGUGUUUGGAUAGAGUUGGAUUGCUGAAUAAGAGUGAAUAAGAUGAACAAGGAUAUUCUGCACGUCAUUCACAGCUGCAUAUGAGAAAGAAAAUAUUUUCUUUAUUACCGAGUAAAGGAAGAUUAUUGGGAGUUAAUGAGCGAGAUUUGUUGUUGUUGUGCUAUAUAUAAAGGCUGAUGGGAUGUCAGUGAGGGCUAUGGAGAGUUAGGGGUAGAAAGUAGCGAGCACAGAAGGCUGCAGAGAGUUGUAGUCGGAGUUCUUGCACUUUCAGGCGAAGAAGAAGAAGACGAAGAAUAGAUCACUGUUUAUGUAGUACCUGUCAUCUUUUCUUUGUAACAGCAAUUGUAACAGAAGAUUCUGUAACGCCCUUUCACCGUUGCAAUCUCUGCUCCAUUAUAAUUCUUCAAUAGAAACACAUUUUUGAGCAAUGAAUUAUAUUUUGAGCGUGUUUUUCAC
Long non-coding RNA from Papaver somniferum (opium poppy), 3927 nucleotides. RefSeq lists it as uncharacterized. Lineage: Eukaryota; Viridiplantae; Streptophyta; Magnoliopsida; Ranunculales; Papaveraceae. The record is from RefSeq and is a predicted model, not a curated record. The transcript is spliced from 2 exons.